UACGUAGGUGGCAAGCGUUGUCCGGAAUUAUUGGGCGUAAAGAGCUCGUAGGCGGUUUGUCGCGUCUGCUGUGAAAACCCGAGGCUCAACCUCGGGCCUGCAGUGGGUACGGGCGAGACUAGAGUGCGGUAGGGGAGAUUGGAAUUCCAGGUGUAGAGGUGAAAUUCGUAGAUAUCUGGAGGAACAACAGUGGCGAAGGCGGCUCUCUGGACUGUUACUGACACUAAGGCGCGAAAGCGUGGGGAGCAAACAGG
This 254-nucleotide ribosomal RNA is filed under the name uncultured bacterium. RNAcentral's name for it is "partial 16S ribosomal RNA". It matches the Rfam family "Bacterial small subunit ribosomal RNA", at positions 524 to 776 of the family's 1533-position model. The record is from RNAcentral.